GUUAUAUUGCAAUAUUAUUUAUAUAUAACUGCAGUCUUUUGAUGACAUCAACCGGGAUCAGUCGCACGACCCAGCAGAUGGUUUAGAGACUGGCUGGAAAAUUAUUAUUGUGUUACUUUGUGCAGCUCUACUUAUAAAAUUACUUAUAUCACUAAUCCAGACUAUAAUUCUUUUAUGAAGUGACAGAGUGCUUUCAGAAUGAUCUGUGCAUUUCGCUCCUGAAGAGAAAAAUAGUAAGUAAGUAAAUAAAUACACAUUUUUAAAAAAAGUCUUCAAUUUUUGGUGCAGAUGCAACCCUGAUUAAGUGUCUGGGGUGUGUUUAAAAAGGAAAAGAAGGGAACUGAUAUAAUAGAGGAAAACAGGAUACAAAUUAGUUUUUACACUGACUGAAAAUAUACAAAGUAGGUAACAAGUAAGGCAAGUUAAUAAUGUAAAGAAAGGAGUACGUAAUACAAGUACAGGAACAAGUUAAGAAAGUAAUGCAAGUAAAGUAAUAGGGAACAAGUAAAGUAACACAGGGAAAAAGUAAAGAAAGUAAUGCAAGUAAAGUAAUAGGGAACAAGUAAAGCAAGUUAAUAAUGUAAAGAAAGGAGUACGUAAUACAAGUACAGGAACAAGUUAAGAAAGUACUGCAAGUAAAGUAACACAGGGAACAAGUAAAGAAAGUAAUGCAAGUAACACAGGGAACAAGGAAUGCAAGUAAAGUAACAGGGAAUAAGUAAUGCAAGUAAAGUAACGGAACAAGUAAAGAAAGUAAUGCAAGUAAAGUAACAGGGAACAAGUAAAGUAACUAAUGCAAGUAACACAGGGAACAAGGAAUGCAAGUAAAGUAACAGAACAAGUAAAGAAAGUAAUGCAAGUAAAGUAACAAGGAACAAGUAAAGAAAGUAAUGCAAGUAAAGAAAGUAAUGCAAGUAAAGUAACACAGGGAACAAGUCAAGAAAGUACUGCAAGUAAAGUAACAGGGAACAAGUAAAGUAACACAGGGAACAAGUAAAGAAAGUAAUGCAAGUAAAGUAAAAUAAGGAACAAGUAAAGAAAGUAAAGCAAGUAAAGUAACACGGAAUAAGUAAAGUAACAUGGGGAACAAGUAACAUAGGGAACAAGUAAAGAAGCUUUUACUUUACGUGAAAAACUAACAAGUAAAGUAAGCGCUAGAAGGUACAAUUGGUAAUAAGUACGUACAGAAAGUAACGCAUGAAUUUAUGCAUGUAAUUC
Ictalurus punctatus (channel catfish) is the source of this 1218-nucleotide long non-coding RNA. The record is from Ensembl. Lineage: Eukaryota; Metazoa; Chordata; Actinopteri; Siluriformes; Ictaluridae.